GAUGAACGCUGGCGGCGUGCCUAAUACAUGCAAGUCGAGCGAACAGACGAGGAGCUUGCUCCGCUGACGUUAGCGGCGGACGGGUGAGUAACACGUGGAUAACCUACCUAUAAGACUGGGAUAACUUCGGGAAACCGGAGCUAAUACCGGAUAAUAUAUUGAACCGCAUGGUGCAAUAGUGAAAGACGGUGGUGCUGUCACUUAUAGAUGGAUCCGAGCCGCAUUAGGUAGUUGGUCAGGUAACGGCUUACGAAGGCAACGAUGCGUAGCCGACCUGAGCGGGUGAUCGGCCACCCUUGAACUUAGCCACCGUCCCUGCUCCUACGGGACGCACCAGUCGGGAAUCUUCCGCAAUAGUCGGAAGCCUUACGCAACCACCGCGCGUCUAUUACGGCAGUCCUCCGUUCGUAAAACCCUCCUUUUAGUGAAGAACAACUGUCUAAGUAACUAUGCACUUCUUGACGGUACCUAAUCAGAAAGCCCCGGCUAACUACGUG
This 497-nucleotide ribosomal RNA is filed under the name uncultured bacterium. RNAcentral's name for it is "partial 16S ribosomal RNA". It matches the Rfam family "Bacterial small subunit ribosomal RNA", at positions 28 to 507 of the family's 1533-position model. The record is from RNAcentral.